RNAcentral lists this long non-coding RNA (1030 nucleotides) under Cicer arietinum (chickpea). Its description in RNAcentral is "long non-coding RNA (CARI_LNC002628)". Lineage: Eukaryota; Viridiplantae; Streptophyta; Magnoliopsida; Fabales; Fabaceae. The record is from RNAcentral.
UUAAAAUUAUAAAGAAGAAUGGAGUCUAUUUUUUAUUUCUUUCAUACUGCUACUGCUACUGUUAUUCAUUUCAAAGAUUUUGAAAAAAAUGACUAAUCAUGUUCUCUAGUCAUUGUUGAUUUAUUCAUCCACCCAAAAUGUAUUUCAGCAAAAAAAGAAAUUAUUGUUAAAAGUGUGGGUAUCUUUCUCCGAAUAGAGAUAUAUUUGGCGUCGGUGGUUGGUUUUUCGGCGACGGUGGCAACGGCAAGGACGACAUUAUCAUAGGUUCAAAUUUUUAGUCUUUGUUACGUUUCCCUCGUUAUGUUAUCUUAAUAUUUCCUCUUACAAAUAAAAAAUCUAUAUUUAAAAAAAACGAAAGAGUGAUUGCAUUAUGAAGGUAAAGAACAACGGAUUCAUUGUAAAAAAAAAAGUAAAAAUACCUUGCGUUUUCUGUUUGUUGCUUAUUACUAGUAUCCCUGAUUUCUUCCUUUGUAUGUGUGUUUUUUUUUGUAGAGUUAAUCUCAGAUUCCUCAUUUUUAAACAAAAUGGGGAUGUAUUUAUAGAGUUUUUUAUUUGUUUAGUUGCUUUCUUUGCCUGCAUUGGUCCUUCUCCAUCAAUUUCCUGUUUGAUGUUUUGAUUUCUUUGCUCAUCAUCUGCAUUUUUCUACACCUCCGAUGCAUUCAUGGUUUUGACUUAUUUGUUUUGAUCUCUUCUGUUGCUGAGCUUUAAUUUGUCCCUUAGUUUAUUUUUUUUUUAAACUCUAAAAUUUGUCUUUUUGUUCUGCACAAUGUGUACCAAGACUGACUUAAAAAUUUAUGUUUUUAUGUUUCUCAAAUUAGUUAAAACAGGAACAGAUGUACCAAUAAGCAUGGCUUGUGCAUCAAUGGCAGUCAUCAUCAACAUGGCAGUGUUUGGCAGUGAACAAAGUCAACAUAGCAUGGCUUGAUCUGAUUUAAUUUUUACUGUAAUUUAAUUUGGCUUUAUUUUUAAAUUGUAAUUUGAUUUUAUUUUAGAAUUGUAAAUAGAUUUGAAAUUGUAAAUUUAUGAGACA